UAUUUAGCGGCGGACGGGUGAGUAACGCGUGAGCGACCAACUUGCACAGGGGGAUAACGGACCGAAAGGUUCACUAAUACCGCAUGAGACCACGGUGUUGCAUGACACAGAGGUCAAAGGAGAGAUCCGGUGCAAGACGGGCUCGCGUCCGAUUAGGAGUUGAGGGGUAACGGCCCACCAAGCCUAUGAUCGGUAGCCGACCUGAGAGGGUGAUCGGCCACAUUGGAACUGAGAUACGGUCCAAACUCCUACGGGGAGGCAGCAGUGGGGAAUAUUGGGCAAUGGGGGAAACCCUGACCCAGCAACGCCGCGUGAAGGAAGAAGGUUUUCGGAUUGUAAACUUCUGUCCUUGGUGAAGAGAAGAAGACGGUAGCCAAGGAGGAAGCCCCGGCUAACUACGUGCCAGCCGCCGC
RNAcentral lists this ribosomal RNA (413 nucleotides) under uncultured bacterium. Its description in RNAcentral is "bacterial SSU rRNA". It matches the Rfam family "Bacterial small subunit ribosomal RNA", at positions 89 to 518 of the family's 1533-position model. The record is from RNAcentral.